This is an RNA transcript of Rosa rugosa (rugosa rose), 2523 nucleotides long. It is a transcript of the gene named cytochrome P450 734A1-like, with no coding region annotated. The record is from RefSeq and is a predicted model, not a curated record. NCBI's taxonomy places the organism in Eukaryota, Viridiplantae, Streptophyta, Magnoliopsida, Rosales, Rosaceae. The transcript is spliced from 5 exons.
UGGAUCUUCAGUUUAGAUCAGUCUGAUUUUGAUUAUCGUUCUGUUUUUUCCUUUUGUUUUCAAAAUAAAAAGAAAAUUGAAGAAGUGCGACUCCAUUUACUCCUAAGUAUUUAAUAUUUUAUGGAUAGAAACCAAGUGUUGUCAGCCAACCAGUUAUCGCAUUACAAUAUAGUUCAAGUUCAACGCUUCUUUGCUCACUAAAGCAUUAUCUAAAACUCUAGCUGGCUUGCUCUUUCUGUGUGAGAUUGUUAUUCAAUCAUGCAUCUUCUUCUUGUUCUUUUCCCUCUGGCUAUCUUCCUCUUCAAAUUUGCCUACUCAACCCUAUGGGUCCCAUGGAGGACGCAAACCCACUUCAGACAGCAAGGCAUAAGGGGCCCCGGCUACCGUCCGAUCUUCGGAAACUCCGUCGAGAUCCGCCGUCUGUUCGCCGAAGCUCUCUCAAAGCGAGUCCCAUUCGACCACGACAUCGCUCCACGCGCGAUUCCAUUCUACCACAGGUGGUCCAGCAUGUACGGGAAGACUUUCCUCUACUGGUUCGGGCCCAAUCCCAGGCUGGCAAUAUCCGACCCGGAUUUGAUCAAAGAAGUCCUUGUCAAUUCCAGUGGGUCGUUUCAAAAGAUACCCUUUACCCCUUUAACCAAAAACCUCUUCGGAGAAGGACUCGUUGGGCUCGAAGGCGAUGAUUGGGCCUUUCAUAGAAGGAUCGUCAACCAGGCCUUCAAAAUGGAGCGGGUCAAGGGUUGGGUGCCUGAAAUUGUGGGGAGUGCCAUGAAGGUGUUGGAGAAGUGGGAGGGUAUAAGAGGAGAGAAAGAUGAGUUUGAGAUGGAUGUGCACAAGGAAUUUCAUGAUCUUUCUGCUGAUGUUAUAUCGAGAACAGCUUUUGGAAGCAGUUUUGAGGAGGGAAAGCGAAUUUUCAACUUGCAAGAACAACAAAUGCAUCUUUUCUCGAAGGCGGUUAGGAGCAUCUACAUUCCUGGAUUCAGGUUUUUACCCACCAAGAAUAACAGAGAAAGGUGGAGACUACAAAAGGAAACUAGUGAAUCAAUACGGAUGUUGAUCUUGAAUAGUCCCAAAACAAGAGAAGAUUCGACAAAUCUACUCAGUCUGUUAAUGUCUUCUUACAAGAACCAGAGUGGUGAAGAAGAAAAAUUAGGGUUAGAGGAUAUAAUAGCUGAAUGCAAGACCUUCUACCUUGCAGGAAGUGAAACAACUGCUUCUCUUUUGACUUGGGCACUUCUCCUUCUAGCCCGCCAUCAGGAUUGGCAAAGCAAGGCUAGGGAAGAAGUGAUUCGCACUAGUGGAGACAAUAAGCUUCCUACUGCAGAGAAUUUGAAUGAUCUUAAGAUUGUGAGCCUGAUAGUUAACGAAACACUUAGACUCUACCCUCCAGCUGUGAUGCUAAUGAGGCAAACAUCAAAGAAGGUUAAGCUUGGGGACCUUGACAUUCCUGCUCACACACAACUCUACUUGGCCUUGACCGCUGUCCAUCACGACACUGAGAUAUGGGGAGAAGAUGCUAAUGAGUUCAAUCCCUCGAGGUUUUCAGAGCCUCGAAAGCAUUUAGCCUCAUUCUUUCCAUUUGGUCUGGGGCCUAGAAUCUGCGCAGGUCAAAACUUGGCUCUGGUUGAAGCAAAACUGGUCUUGGCAACCAUCAUCCGCCACUAUUCUUUUGUGGUGUCUCCAACCUAUGUCCAUGCACCAAUGUUGUUUAUUAGUUUACAGCCUCAAUAUGGUGCUCAAAUCCUCUUUAGGAAGAUUCCAAGCUGAAAACUUAAAGCAUCUUACUUCCAGAUUUUAGCUUCAAAACACUGAUUCCUACUGUCGUUUACCAUCUCAAGUCUGUAAUCGCCGUGUUUACCAACAAAGUUUUGAUUGCUUAAGGUGACAAAUUUAUAGACUGGGACCAGCUCACCAACUUAACUCUAGUAAGUCAAAGCCAUACUUAAUGGAAUGCGGGUGACAUCAGACACUGAGAUAUGGGGAGAAGAUGUUCAAGGCGGAGCCUCAAAAGCAUCUCAAUUGCCUCAUUCUCCGCAUUUGGUUUAGGGGUACAAUCUGUGCAGAUCAAAAUUUAGCUCUAUAUUUGAACUAGCACUAGUCUUAGCUCUUAGCAAUCAUCGUCCGCCACUAUUCUUUAUGGUGUGUGUAAGUUUACAGCCACAAAACGGGGCUCGGAUCCUCUUUAGCAAGAUUCCAAACCGAAAACUUCAUGCAUCUUCCUUCUACAUUCAAGCCUCGCGCCCUCACUUAUUGACAAUGACGUUCUAGCUCUCGUUUUGCCCCAGAGGAAACAAAGGGAAAGUUUUGUCUGUUUCAAAAUUGCAGGCUCUCAACUUAUGGAUACCCGAUGCCUUCUGCUUUGUAGCAACCUCUUGGAUUUUUGCGCGCAGGGUGGCUUUAAACCUAUAAUUAUAGGUUGGCUUGAGCUCCUAACAUGCUUGCUCACUCUCUUCGUCAUUAACAUAUAUUUACUUUACGUUUUCCUAGUCCAAACCAUUCAUGUAAUAUCUAAAAUAUGAUUGA